This 427-nucleotide long non-coding RNA is filed under the name Anser brachyrhynchus (Pink-footed goose). Its description in RNAcentral is "lncRNA (ENSABRG00000010979.1)". The record is from RNAcentral. Lineage: Eukaryota; Metazoa; Chordata; Aves; Anseriformes; Anatidae.
UGUAGUAGUAUACAAUUUUGGCAACAUCUUGACUAGAGAGCAUAAAUUGAAACACUCCAUUUCAUUUCUUGGUAAUUUGUUCCUAUUUUCUAUUAGCAAAAGCAAACUGAACACGUGUCAACUUUUAAUUCAUGUCUUUCAGCAGGAAAGGGAAAUAACAAUAGUGAACGCCCCAACAAUCCUAGUCGGAAACCCUUUAUGAGCACAUCGAUCUGAGCAAAGGCGGGUCAUUGAGAAGGAAUGGAAUGGUCAAGGCAAAAAACAAGGAAAUAUUUUAAGCUUUAACUUCAGCUUAACUCAAGAUGUACGUAGCUCUGUAGUCUCACGUUUGUACAUUAAUUUAACCAUGGGAUGCAAUGAAAGGGAUACACAAACCAUUGACAGCACAACUUCUGAGGGUUUCCCCAGCCAGAGGAACCAGUCCCAG